UGGUGGAGCGAUUUGUCUGGUCAAUUCCGAUAACGAACGAGACUCUAGCCUACUAAAUAGUUCGGGGACCCCCACAAAGGGGCCCCGCUUCAACUUCUAGAGGGACAGGUGGCGUUUAGCCACACGAGAUUGAGCAAUAACA
Molecule: ribosomal RNA, 142 nt
Filed under: uncultured eukaryote
Lineage: Eukaryota
Description: partial 18S ribosomal RNA
Rfam family: Eukaryotic small subunit ribosomal RNA
Source: RNAcentral